GCAGUGAUGAAUUUUUCGAGUUUGAUCGGUAAACACCUGAAAUGACAGAUUCUCUAAGAAGUUCUGAGCUC
This is a small nucleolar RNA of Solea solea (common sole), 71 nucleotides long. RefSeq annotates it as small nucleolar RNA SNORD61. NCBI's taxonomy places the organism in Eukaryota, Metazoa, Chordata, Actinopteri, Pleuronectiformes, Soleidae. The transcript has a single exon. The record is from RefSeq and is a predicted model, not a curated record.